AAUUGAGUGAAAAAGAGAAAAAGGCCCAAAAAUAAUCGCGAAAUGUAUUUAAAGGCGCAAGCGAAACCGUAGUCCGCAGCGAUGGGUCUCGCCGCGAUCUUGUGUCGAUUUACGGGGAGAGGCAACACUCAUUGAUUUUUAUAAUUUUUCGCGUUGUUUCGGAUAGUUUUUCGCGAA
Caenorhabditis elegans is the source of this 177-nucleotide non-coding RNA. NCBI's taxonomy places the organism in Eukaryota, Metazoa, Nematoda, Chromadorea, Rhabditida, Rhabditidae. The record is from Ensembl.